CAUUUUUGUAAAUAAUUUAUGUUUUCAUGUGACAACACUGAAGAAAUGACACUCUGCUACAAUGUAAAGUAGUAAGUUUGGUAGACCUUACUGCCUCUGGAUUAAUAUUUGAGACUAUUUCGUCUGUUUGUUCGCCAAUCCCCAGUUGUUCGUGUGUUUCCUGGUUGCAUUCCCUAAUAGACGAACUAACUACUGAAUGGUGGGCCACCCAGCAGGGAAGUGUGCUGCUCGUUAACCUUUCUGACCUUAUUAACAUUGUGGUUAACCGCAACCACUUCCAACUCCCGAACGGUCGGCUGGGUGGUCGUCGUUCGAUGAACGAACACAUGGCGGCAGCCAUUUUAAACAGUUGAACGCCCAGCAGUGUUCGUUGUCAACCACAUCGAACUAAUUUCGUACAGUUUCCCACGCACACUGCUGAGAUCACCAACCAUCAAUCUAUUCGUUCCAGUUCAUACGAAGGCCGUGCCGUUAGGUAUAUUGACAAUCCACAAAUGGAACUGUCCCAGAUAGCUAGACCCAUGGAGCUCAUUCUUUCUGCCGAACGCACAGUGAACACACUUUAGCUCCAUGGCGAUUUGACUGUAUGUAUGCGAUCUGAGCGCUGUUCGCUUAUAUUGAGGGCUCAGAUCCAAGCUAUCUGAGGAUAUGUCGAACAUAGAGGUUCCGUUCGGUGAAAUAGGAAUUAUGCAUUUUUUACUAUUAUUGUAAAAUGGGAAUAUUUUCUAUCCCUGCA
Pelobates cultripes (western spadefoot toad) is the source of this 736-nucleotide non-coding RNA. The record is from the annotation of a GenBank genome assembly. Lineage: Eukaryota; Metazoa; Chordata; Amphibia; Anura; Pelobatidae.